Molecule: ribosomal RNA, 400 nt
Filed under: uncultured bacterium
Lineage: Bacteria
Description: bacterial SSU rRNA
Rfam family: Bacterial small subunit ribosomal RNA
Source: RNAcentral
AAUCAACGCUGGCGGCGUGCCUCAGACAUGCAAGUCGAACGCGAAAGUCUCCUUCGGGGGACAAGUAGAGUGGCGCACGGGUGAGUAACACGUAGGUAAUCUACCUUCGGAUGGGGAAUAACAAUCGGAAACGGUUGCUAAUACCGCAUAAUGCAGCGGCACCUAAUGGUGACAGUUGUUAAAGCGGGGGAUCGAAAGACCUCGCGUCUGAAGAGGAGCCUGCGGCGGAUUAGCAGUUGGUAAGGUAAUGGCUUACCAAGGCUACGAUCCGUAACCGGCCUGAGAGGGCGGUCGGUCACACUGACACUGACAUACGGGUCAGACUCCUACGGGAGGCAGCAGGUCGGGAAUUUUGGGCAAUGGGCGAAAGCCUGACCCAGCAACGCCGCGUGAAGGAUAG